CCCUUAGAUGUUCUGGGCCGCACGCGCGCUACACUGAUGCAUUCAACGAGUUUCUUCCUGGUCCGAGAGGAAUGGGUAACCUUUUGAAAGUGCAUCGUGAUAGGGAUAGACUAUUGCAAUUAUUGGUCUUCAACGAGGAAUUCCUAGUAGACGUAGUUCAUCAGACUGCAUCGAUUACGUCCCUGCCCUUUGUACACACCGCCCGUCGCUCCUACCGAUUGAAUGCUCAGGUGAGCCAUUCGGACUUUCAUCAUGCUGGUUUCCAGUUUUGAUGAAGGAAAGUCUUGCGAACCUUAUCAUUUAGAGGAAGGAGAUGUCGUAACA
RNAcentral lists this ribosomal RNA (324 nucleotides) under uncultured eukaryote. RNAcentral describes it as "partial 18S ribosomal RNA". It matches the Rfam family "Eukaryotic small subunit ribosomal RNA", at positions 1470 to 1796 of the family's 1831-position model. The record is from RNAcentral.